GGAGUAAUAGUUAAUUAUAACAUUUGAAUUGCACUCAAAAAGUAUUGAUAUCUCAAUUUACUUUA
This 65-nucleotide transfer RNA is filed under the name Layahima wuzhishana. RNAcentral's name for it is "tRNA-Ala". The record is from RNAcentral. Lineage: Eukaryota; Metazoa; Arthropoda; Insecta; Neuroptera; Myrmeleontidae.